CAGUCGCCGCGGGAAUACGUAGGUGGCAAGCGUUGUCCGGAAUUAUUGGGCGUAAAGGGCUCGCAGGCGGUUUCUUAAGUCUGAUGUGAAGGCCCCCGGCUCAACCGGGGAGGGUCAUUGGAAACUGGGAAACUUGAGUGCAGAAGAGGAGAGUGGAAUUCCACGUGUAGCGGUGAAAUGCGUAGAGAUGUGGAGGAACACCAGUGGCGAAGGCGACUCUCUGGUCUGUAACUGACGCUGAGGAGCGAAAGCGUGGGGAGCGAACAGGAUUAGAUACCCCCGUAGUCCCUGUCUCUUAUAU
This 301-nucleotide ribosomal RNA is filed under the name uncultured bacterium. RNAcentral describes it as "partial 16S ribosomal RNA". It matches the Rfam family "Bacterial small subunit ribosomal RNA", at positions 509 to 809 of the family's 1533-position model. The record is from RNAcentral.